RNAcentral lists this long non-coding RNA (984 nucleotides) under Mustela putorius furo (domestic ferret). RNAcentral describes it as "lncRNA (ENSMPUG00000027364.1)". The record is from RNAcentral. Lineage: Eukaryota; Metazoa; Chordata; Mammalia; Carnivora; Mustelidae.
GCAAGUGGAAGCCAAUGGGCAGGCCCCAAGACACGUGCAGGGGGCUGCUGGGAUUGUGGACGUCACUUGGGACCUCGUGCGCCUUCUCCUGCUGGUGGGAAAAGUGGAGAUAGUAACUUCCACCUGGAAGUGAGGCUGUGACGCUUGUAGAUAGAUGGUGGUAGGCCUCGCCUCUGCUAUCCUGAGGCCCUCGGGAGCUCAAGUCACGGUCCAGCCGGUCCAAACGCUCUGACUGGGACAUUUCUGAAAACUAACUUCUGCGCGCUGGGACUAGGCCGGCUCUCCGAGGCUGCAUGGACAAAUGUGUUUGCCUUAACAGCAGCCUUUCAAAUGGCCCACCCCAAACCCAUCACAACACUGCAUCAAUUCCACACGCCAUUCAGGAAGUAAGGCUAUUUUCUCCUCAUCCUGUGACCCUCCGGAUAUACUCCAGACUGUCAAGUUCUUGCCAAAGAGAAGAGCAAUUGGGUGGGAUGCUGACGGCUAUAAAAGGGUUGAAGAGACUUUCUAUGGGCUCCCCGUAGGAAGGAGGAUGGAACAGGAGCCUGACAUUCGGUCUCAGAGGCGCUCACCUUCCAGGUUCAGGACUGUGGAUGCUGUCAGACACCCUUCACAGGAACAGAUGGUGCUCACAGUUGGGACCCUGUCAGUGCCCAAGGACACCCAGGGCCCUGCUGGGUUCCCACCUGCAAGCUCCCCUCCUAGACAAUGCACCUGUGCUUGAGCUUCUGGGGCCACUAGCGUCUGCCAAGAACAAAUCAUGUUUGCAAAGGGAGAUAUGAGAAAGCCACAGCACAAUGCACAGAGGCUCUUAAAAACUUACGAUAUUAACAAAUGUGACUUGAGCAUUCAAAAGAUCCUGGAUGCUAUACUUGGUGCUUGGGAUACAGUAGAGAUCGAACCAGGUACAUCUUCUACCCUCCUGAAGUUUACUGUCUAGCAAGAAGGUGGAGGGAGUGGGGAAGAGGGUGCCGAACACUGAGC